CGGGGCGCGAGGCCGGUUCCCGGCGCGGGCAGCGGGCGGACUUCCUCGCUUUCGGUUUCGCGCCGCCCGGGAAGGGGCAGGUGACCCGGUCCCGGCCGCGGAGGCCGCGGGAGCGCCCCGGGCGGCAAAUAAAUCCAGCUUAGUGGUCGACUGACCCUGGGAAGUAAAACUACGAGUCACUGCUAUCUGUGUCAGUGCCCCACACGUCUUCCCACCAGUCUGGAUUUAAUCGUGCUCCAUUCUGAGCGCGAGGAGCCCCGAGGGGCUGUUCACCUGGGAUGCCACUCACUCGGAACGUCGCAGAAAAAGCUGUCUUUGUGGAAGUUCCAGUCGACUUCUCUUUUCUCUCUUUCAUAGUGGUCAUCUGACCAUCUAUCAUCCCGAUGGCUGAAACGGAACAACAACGUGGUCUUGAGUAAAGUACCGUCAGCAGCACAGGGCACACAGCCAGCAACUAUGUAACAGCGAUGGAGGCGAGCCGGCAUAGAGUAAACGUGUCUCACUGCUGUCCUACGCCCGGAACUAACCACAACGCGAUAAUAAACACUUAAAAAUAAUAAAGUACUAGCUGUUUCAAGGCCAACAAGCACACCUGUAACGCUCUACCCUCAGUCAUGACCUACUUGAAAUGAAAAGGAUGCAUAUAAGCAACCAACAUCCAUUUUCUCACAUCUAUAAAAAGGGAAAAAAAAAACCAAACCCUCACUCUUUUUACCUUAAUACAACAAAAUCUUAAAAAACAACGAGAAUGUACACAAAUCA
Canis lupus familiaris (dog) is the source of this 762-nucleotide long non-coding RNA. RefSeq lists it as uncharacterized. The transcript is spliced from 2 exons. NCBI's taxonomy places the organism in Eukaryota, Metazoa, Chordata, Mammalia, Carnivora, Canidae. The record is from RefSeq and is a predicted model, not a curated record.